RNAcentral lists this ribosomal RNA (496 nucleotides) under uncultured bacterium. RNAcentral describes it as "partial 16S ribosomal RNA". It matches the Rfam family "Bacterial small subunit ribosomal RNA", at positions 29 to 523 of the family's 1533-position model. The record is from RNAcentral.
AUUGAACGCUGGCGGCAUGCUUUACACAUGCAAGUCGAACGGUAGAGGGGGCAACCCCUUGAGAGUGGCGAACGGGUGAGUAAUGCAUCGGAACGUGCCCAGUCGUGGGGGAUAGCCCGGGGAAACCCGGAUUAAUACCGCAUACGACCUGAGGGUGGAAGCGGGGGACCGAAAGGCCUCGCGCGAUUGGAGCGGCCGAUGUCGGAUUAGGUAGUUGGUGGGGUAAAGGCCUACCAAGCCUGCGAUCCGUAGCUGGUCUGUGAGGACGACCAGCCACACUGGGACUGAGACACGGCCCAGACUCCUACGGGGGGCAGCAGUGGGGAAGUUUGGACAAUGGGCGCAAGCCUGAUCCAGCCAUGCCGCGUGCGGGAAGAAGGCCUUCGGGUUGUAAACCGCUUUUGUCAGGGAAGAAAUCCUUUGGACUAAUACUCUGGGGGGAUGACGGUACCUGAAGAAUAAGCACCGGCUAACUACGUGCCAGCCGCCGCGGUAA